Molecule: long non-coding RNA, 682 nt
Organism: Cygnus olor (mute swan)
Lineage: Eukaryota; Metazoa; Chordata; Aves; Anseriformes; Anatidae
Exons: 4
Source: RefSeq, a predicted model, not a curated record
AAAAAAAAUCUAUAGAAAGGCUAUAAACCUUAUGGAUUAAUAAACAACACCAGAAAGACAUCAAAGUAAGUACAGUGAAUUUUGAAAAAAAGGAACACAUGAAGAGGAGGUCUUGCAUCAAGAACUGACUACAUAAAUGGUGGCAUUAUCAAUGGAGACUAGAUUUGUAUUUAUGCUCAAGAAAGAAAAGAGUAUGAAGAAAAAAAUGUUCUAGAAUCUCUGGAGUCAGAUUACUUCAAAAACCAAACUGAAUUAAAACCAACAAACAAACAAACAAACCAACAAGGAGAUGAAGCCUUAGAAGCCCUUAUAUAAAUGUUUCAGGACAUCAAGAACACCUUGCUAAAUGAAUUUCCUAUGCAUAAGCAGCAUACUCAUUUUUCAUACCUCAAUAUUUAAUUACCAUGUGAUAAUAAUACAAACAGUGAGAGAGGAUAGCAGUACUUUCCACAAGACAACAACAGUGUUUUUCAUUAAAAAUAAAAUGUCCUUUCUGCACAGAUUUUUUUUUUUCAAUUUUUAUUUUUUUUUAGCAUACAAAUUUAAUUAAAACACCAGUAACAUUUUUUAACAUUGAUCAUAAAUGGAUUAUAGAACAUAGAAUGACUCAUUAAAAUGAGCAAGAUAAACCUGCAGAUAGGGAACAUUUAAAUUUUCUUGACUUACCACCUUUUUCCUAUGC